UCAAAGGUGCGUUUGGAAUGACAUCAAGAGAAGAUCUCAAAAAACUCAUUAGAUCUUAGAUUGCAAGGACAAUAAUCAGCAAAUCGUAGAGCAAUAUUAAAAGAAGAUCACACCCUCUUCAUGGAGAUAUCCGACAUGGACAUGAAUGAUUAUGAAGAAAGGCAAGCCGCAUCUUAUGAAUGGACAUAUUUGAUAUGGACGUAUUACCCUCAAUCAAGGAAUCAAAUCAAAUCCUUGAUUUAGAAGAAAUCCCUUGGAUAUUCAUUCUAUGUAAGAUAGCAGGAUCAUCUGAUGAAUAUAAAAGGGGAAGACUAAAAAC
This 319-nucleotide long non-coding RNA is filed under the name Capsicum annuum. Its description in RNAcentral is "long non-coding RNA (CANN_LNC015643)". Lineage: Eukaryota; Viridiplantae; Streptophyta; Magnoliopsida; Solanales; Solanaceae. The record is from RNAcentral.